Molecule: long non-coding RNA, 313 nt
Organism: Vigna radiata var. radiata (mung bean)
Lineage: Eukaryota; Viridiplantae; Streptophyta; Magnoliopsida; Fabales; Fabaceae
Exons: 3
Source: RefSeq, a predicted model, not a curated record
GUGACUAUCGGUUUGGAGGAUUAGAAUAAAAUUGGUCAAAUUUUCCAUUGCAUUGCAGGUCUCUGCAUCUGGAAUGACUUUUAGUCUCUUGCUUGUUGCAAUCUCAUUCUAUGUAAAGGAUAUUGUAUCAGAAACUUCUUCCUUGUAUGGGAUAUUGAGCACCUUGUCAGUGGUUGGAGUUAUGACCAUGGUUAUUGCAUUCUCUCUGGGAUUGGGAGCUAUGCCAUGGAUUAUAAUUUCUGAGGUACAUUUCUGUCGUUUUACAUUUUAACAUUAUACUUCUGAAAUGGAGAAUUACAUUAUUGCUUUUGCU